This 390-nucleotide unclassified non-coding RNA is filed under the name soil metagenome. RNAcentral describes it as "partial contains 5.8S ribosomal RNA, internal transcribed spacer 2, and large subunit ribosomal RNA". The stretch from base 1 to 122 matches the Rfam family "5.8S ribosomal RNA", at positions 35 to 154 of the family's 154-position model. The record is from RNAcentral.
GAUGAAGAACGUAGCGAAAUGCGAUACUUGGUGUGAAUUGCAGAAUCCCGUGAACCAUCGAGUCUUUGAACGCAAGUUGCGCCCGAAGCCAUUAGGCCGAGGGCACGCCUGCCUGGGCGUCACACGUCGUUGCCCCCCCAUCUAAUCCUUCGGGAUUGCGGGGGGCGGAUGAUGGCCUCCCGUGCGCCUCGUCGCGCGGUUGGCAUAAAUGCCAAGUCCUCGGCGACGCACGCCACGACAAUCGGUGGUUGCGAAACCUCGGUUGCCCGUCGUGUGCGGUCGUCGCGCAUCGAGGGCUCGAAAAAAUUGCCGGGCUCCGGCUCGACUUUCAACGCGACCCCAGGUCAGGCGGGGUUACCCGCUGAAUUUAAGCAUAUCAUAAGCGGAGGA